CACGGGGGGAGCAAGCGUUGUUCGGAAUCACUGGGCGUAAAGGGCGUGUAGGCGGUUCGGUAAGUGAGAUGUGAAAUGCUCCGGCUCACCCGGGGACCUGCAUCUCAAACUGCCGGACUAGAGUAUGGGAGAGGAUGAGGGAAUUCCUGGUGUAGCGGUGAAAUGCGUAGAUAUCAGGAGGAACACCGGUGGCGAAAGCGCUCAUCUGGCCCAAUACUGACGCUGAGGCGCGAAAGCUAGGGGAGCAAACGGG
Molecule: ribosomal RNA, 253 nt
Filed under: uncultured bacterium
Lineage: Bacteria
Description: partial 16S ribosomal RNA
Rfam family: Bacterial small subunit ribosomal RNA
Source: RNAcentral